CCCACCCGUGUUUAUUUUACCUUGUUGCUUCGGCGGGCCCGCCUUAACUGGCCGCCGGGGGGCUUACGCCCCCGGGCCCGCGCCCGCCGAAGACACCCUCGAACUCUGUCUGAAGAUUGUAGUCUGAGUGAAAAUAUAAAUUAUUUAAAACUUUCAACAACGGAUCUCUUGGUUCCGGCAUCGAUGAAGAACGCAGCGAAAUGCGAUACGUAAUGUGAAUUGCAAAUUCAGUGAAUCAUCGAGUCUUUGAACGCACAUUGCGCCCCCUGGUAUUCCGGGGGGCAUGCCUGUCCGAGCGUCAUUUCUGCCCUCAAGCACGGCUUGUGUGUUGGGCCCCGUCCUCCGAUCCCGGGGGACGGGCCCGAAAGGCAGCGGCGGCACCGCGUCCGGUCCUCGAGCGUAUGGGGCUUUGUCACCCGCUCUGUAGGCCCGGCCGGCGCUUGCCGAUCAACCCAAAUUUUUAUCCAGGUUGACCUCGGAUCAGGUAGGGAUACCCGCUGAACUUAAGCAUAUC
Molecule: ribosomal RNA, 514 nt
Filed under: Penicillium sp. DY115-21-3-M8
Lineage: Eukaryota; Fungi; Ascomycota; Eurotiomycetes; Eurotiales; Aspergillaceae
Description: eukaryotic LSU rRNA
Rfam family: 5.8S ribosomal RNA (bases 149-301)
Source: RNAcentral